GAAAGUAAAAAAGGGCGCAUGGCGGAUGCCUUGGCUCUCGGAGGCGAUGAAGGACGUGAUAAGCUGCGAUAAGCUUUGGGGAGGUGCAAAUGACCUUUGAUCCAGAGAUUUCCGAAUGGGACAACCCAAUAUCUUGAAGAGGUAUUAUCCAACGUUGUUGGAGGCUAACGCAGGGAACUGAAACAUCUUAGUACCUGCAGGAAAAGAAAAUAAACAAUGAUUCCCCCAGUAGUGGCGAGCGAACGGGGAACAGCCCAAACCAUCCAUGUUACGGCAUGGGUGGGGUUGUAGGACUACGCCGUUGCAUGAAGACAUCAGAGAAGAACUUUCUGGAAAGAAAGACCAUAGAGCAUGACAGUUGCGUAUUCGAAUGUUGUCGAAGCAUAGUAGUAUCCUGAGUAGCGCGGAGCACGAGGAAUUCUGCGUGAAUCUGCCGGGACCAUCCGGUAAGGCUAAAUACUCCCGAGAGACCGAUAGCGAACCAGUACCGUGAGGGAAAGGUGAAAAGCACUUCGAACAGAAGAGUGAAAUAGUUCCUGAAACCGUGCGCCUACAAGCGGUCGGAGCUCGUUAAUGAGUGACGGCGUGCCUUUUGCAUAAUGAACCUACGAGUUGCCUUUGCCGGCAAGGUUAAGUGUGACGACACACGUAUCCGAAGCGAAAGCGAGUCUGAAUAGGGCGUAUAGUCGGCAGUGGCAGACGCGAAACCAAGUGAUCUACCCUUGGCCAGGUUGAAGGCUGGGUAACACCAGCUGGAGGACCGCACCAAUAAGCGUUGAAAAGCUUCUGGAUGAGCUGAGGGUAGGGGUGAAAGGCUAAUCAAACUUGGAGAUAGCUCGUACUCCCCGAAAUGCAUUUAGGUGCAGCCUUGCGGGUUACUGAUGUGAGGUAGAGCGACUGAUAAGAUGCGAGGGCUUCACCGCCUAUCAAGUCUUGACAAACUCCGAAUGCGCAUCAGUUCUACCGCAGGAGUGAGGGCAUGGGUGCUAAGGUCCGUGCCCGAGAGGAGAAGAAUCCGGACCACCUGCUAAGGUCCCGAAAUGACAGCUAAGUUAAACUAACGAAGUCUGACUGCUAAGACAGCUAGGAUGUUGGCUUGGAAGCAGCCAUUCAUUUAAAGAGUGCGUAACAGCUCACUAGUCGAGGAGUCGGGCGUGGAUAAUAAUCGGGUAUCAAGUUGUCUACCGAAGCAGUGGGAUCAUUUAUAUGAUCGGUAGGGGAGCAUUCCAGUCAGCGUCGAAGGCGUACCGUGAGGUAUUCUGGAGCGUCUGGAAAAGCAAAUGUAGGUAUAAGUAACGAUAAAGGGGGCGGGAAACCCCCUCGCCGAAAGACUAAGGUUUCCUGAUCAACGCUAAUCGGAUCAGGGUCAGUCGGGUCCUAAGGCUCAGCCGAACGGCGAUGCCGAUGGCAGAAACGGUUAAUAUUCCGUUACUACCUUCAGGAGUGACGUGGAGACGCAGUAGUGACAGUGCCGCCAUCUGACGGAAUAGAUGGUUGAAGGGUGUAGGAGUCGAUCAUGGCAGGCAAAUCCACCAUGAGAUCCGAACCUGAUAGUAUGCCGCGUCCUUCGGGACAAGGCAAUAGUGCGCGUAAGCAUGCUGCCGAGAAAAUCCGCUAAACUUAAUCCUGCAGGUACCCGUACCGCAAACGGACACACGUAGUCGGGUUGAAUAUACUAAGGCGCUUGAGUGAUUCACGGUUAAGGAACUAGGCAAACUGACCCUGUAACUUCGGGAUAAAGGGUCCCUACCCUUUUAUGGGAGGGCGCAGAGAAUCGGUCCAGGCAACUGUUUAACAAAAACACAGGGCUGUGCCAAAUCGAAAGAUCCAGUAUACAGCCUGACACCUGCCCGGUGCUGGAAGGUUAAGAGGAGAUGUCAUCGAUAAGAGAAGCGUUGAAUUGAAGCCCCAGUAAACGGCGGCCGUAACUAUAACGGUCCUAAGGUAGCGAAAUUCCUUGUCGGGUAAGUUCCGACCUGCACGAAUGGUGUAAUGAUCUGGACGCUGUCUCAACCGUGAGCUCAGUGAAAUUGUAGUAUCGGUGAAGAUGCCGAUUACCCGCGAUGGGACGAAAAGACCCCGUGAACCUUUACUAUAGCUUAUCAUUGAAUCUGGGCACGUGAUGUGUAGGAUAGGUCGGAGGCUUUGAAGCAGGUACGCCAGUAUUUGUGGAGCCGCUGUUGAAAUACGACCCUUUAUUUGUUUGGAUUCUAACCCGUGGAACGGGGACAUUGAUUGGUGGGUAGUUUGACUGGGGUGGUCGCCUCCAAAAGCGUAACGGAGGCUUCUAAAGGUGCCCUCCGGCCGAUUGGUAACCGGCCUUAGAGUGUAAUGGCAUAAGGGCGCUUGACUGGGAGACUGACAAGUCGAUCAGGUAGGAAACUAGAGCAUAGUGAUCCGGUGUUUCCGUAUGGAAGGGACAUCGCUCAAAGGAUAAAAGGUACUCCGGGGAUAACAGGCUGAUCCCUCCCAAGAGCUCAUAUCGACGGAGUGGUUUGGCACCUCGAUGUCGGCUCGUCACAUCCUGGGGCUGGAGAAGGUCCCAAGGGUUGGGCUGUUCGCCCAUUAAAGUGGCACGCGAGCUGGGUUCAGAACGUCGUGAGACAGUUCGGUCUCUAUCUAUCGUGGGCGCAUGAAAUUUGCGUGGCUCUGACACUAGUACGAGAGGACCGUGUUGGACAGACCUCUGGUUUGCCGGUUGUGCCGCCAGGUGCAUUGCCGGGUAUCUAAGUCUGGAUCGGAUAAGUGCUGAAAGCAUCUAAGUACGAAGCCGGCCACAAGAUUAGAUUUCUCAGGGUCGUUGUAGACUACGACGUUGAUAGGAUGCAGGUGUAAAGAUGGAGACAUCAAAGCCGAGCAUUACUAAUUGCCCGUUCACUUUCUUUA
This 2886-nucleotide ribosomal RNA is filed under the name human gut metagenome. RNAcentral's name for it is "bacterial LSU rRNA". It matches the Rfam family "Bacterial large subunit ribosomal RNA". The record is from RNAcentral.